GACGAACGCUGGCGGCGUGCUUAACACAUGCAAGCCGAACGGAAAGGCCCUGCUUUUGUGGGGUGCUCGAGUGGCGAACGGGUGAGUAACACGUGAGUAACCUGCCCUUGACUUUGGGAUAACUUCAGGAAACUGGGGCUAAUACCGGAUAGGAGCUCCUGCUGCAUGGUGGGGGUUGGAAAGUUUCGGCGGUUGGGGAUGGACUCGCGGCUUAUCAGCUUGUUGGUGGGGUAGUGGCUUACCAAGGCUUUGACGGGUAGCCGGCCUGAGAGGGUGACCGGCCACAUUGGGACUGAGAUACGGCCCAGACUCCUACGGGAGGUAGCAGUGGGGAAUAUUGCACAAUGGGCGGAAGCCUGAUGCAGCAACGCCGCGUGCGGGAUGACGGCCUUCGGGUUGUAAACCGCUUUCGCCUGUGACGAAGCGUGAGUGACGGUAAUGUGUAAAGAAGCACCGGCUAACUACGUG
This 468-nucleotide ribosomal RNA is filed under the name uncultured bacterium. Its description in RNAcentral is "partial 16S ribosomal RNA". It matches the Rfam family "Bacterial small subunit ribosomal RNA", at positions 28 to 507 of the family's 1533-position model. The record is from RNAcentral.